UACGUAGGGUCCGAGCGUUGUCCGGAAUUAUUGGGCGUAAAGAGCUCGUAGGCGGUUUGUCGCGUCUGCUGUGAAAUCCCGAGGCUCAACCUCGGGCCUGCAGUGGGUACGGGCAGACUUGAGUGGUGUAGGGGAGACUGGAAUUCCUGGUGUAGCGGUGGAAUGCGCAGAUAUCAGGAGGAACACCGGUGGCGAAGGCGGGUCUCUGGGCAGUAACUGACGCUGAGGAGCGAAAGCGUGGGGAGCGAACAGG
This 253-nucleotide ribosomal RNA is filed under the name uncultured bacterium. RNAcentral's name for it is "partial 16S ribosomal RNA". It matches the Rfam family "Bacterial small subunit ribosomal RNA", at positions 524 to 776 of the family's 1533-position model. The record is from RNAcentral.